UUUCCGUAGGUGAACCUGCGGAAGGAUCAUUCAUAAUAAAGUGUUUUAUGGCACUUUUUAAAAAUCCAUAUCCACCUUGUGUGCAAUGUUAGAUCUCGUCAAUCUUGGCGAGAUUUUUAUACAUCAACUCAUUCUUUAACUAAUUUGUCUGAAAAAUAUUAUGAAUACUUAAGUCAAAAUACAACUUUCAACAACGGAUCUCUUGGCUCUC
This 211-nucleotide unclassified non-coding RNA is filed under the name plant metagenome. RNAcentral describes it as "partial contains small subunit ribosomal RNA, internal transcribed spacer 1, and 5.8S ribosomal RNA". The record is from RNAcentral.